CAGGUGGUGCAUGGUUGUCGUCAGCUCGUGUCGUGAGAUGUUGGGUUAAGUCCUGCAACGAGCGCAACCCUCGACCUUAGUUGCCAGCAUUCAGUUGGGCACUCUAAGGUGACUGCCGGCUAAAAGUCGGAGGAAGGUGGGGAUGAUGUCAAAUCAUCAUGCCCCUUAUGACCUGGGCUACACACGUGCUACAAUGGUUGGUACAACGAGUUGCGAGUCGGUGACGGCGAGCUAAUCUCUUAAAGCCAAUCUCAGUUCGGAUUGUAGGCUGCAACUCGCCUACAUGAAGUCGGAAUCGCUAGUAAUCGCGGAUCAGCACGCCGCGGUGAAUACGUUCCCGGGCCUU
RNAcentral lists this ribosomal RNA (346 nucleotides) under uncultured Streptococcus sp. RNAcentral's name for it is "bacterial SSU rRNA". It matches the Rfam family "Bacterial small subunit ribosomal RNA", at positions 1035 to 1382 of the family's 1533-position model. The record is from RNAcentral. Lineage: Bacteria; Bacillati; Bacillota; Bacilli; Lactobacillales; Streptococcaceae.